This 546-nucleotide ribosomal RNA is filed under the name uncultured Glomeromycotina. Its description in RNAcentral is "SSU rRNA". It matches the Rfam family "Eukaryotic small subunit ribosomal RNA", at positions 548 to 1098 of the family's 1831-position model. The record is from RNAcentral. Lineage: Eukaryota; Fungi; Glomeromycota.
UUGGAGGGCAAGUCUGGUGCCAGCAGCCGCGGUAAUUCCAGCUCCAAUAGCGUAUAUUAAAGUUGUUGCAGUUAAAAAGCUCGUAGUUGAAUUUCGGGAUUAGUACGCUGGUCGUGCCUUCGGUACGUACUGGUGUUACUGAUUUCAACCUUCUGACGAACCAUCAUGUCAUUAAUUUGGUGUGGUGGGGAAUCAGGACUGUUACUUUGAAAAAAUUAGAGUGUUUAAAGCAGGCUUGCGCUUGAAUACAUUAGCAUGGAAUAAUGAAAUAGGACGUUGAUCCUAUUUUGUUGGUUUCUAGGAUUGACGUAAUGAUUAAUAGGGAUAGUUGGGGGCAUUAGUAUUCAAUUGUCAGAGGUGAAAUUCUUGGAUUUAUUGAAGACUAACUACUGCGAAAGCAUUUGCCAAGGAUGUUUUCAUUAAUCAAGAACGAAAGUUAGGGGAUCGAAGACGAUCAGAUACCGUCGUAGUCUUAACCAUAAACUAGGCCGACUAGGGAUCGGAUGAUGUUAUUUUUAAUGACUCAUUCGGCGCCUUACGGGAAAC